RNAcentral lists this ribosomal RNA (394 nucleotides) under uncultured bacterium. Its description in RNAcentral is "bacterial SSU rRNA". It matches the Rfam family "Bacterial small subunit ribosomal RNA", at positions 28 to 423 of the family's 1533-position model. The record is from RNAcentral.
GACGAACGCUGGCGGCGUGCUUAACACAUGCAAGUCGAGCGGUAAGGCCCUUUCGGGGGUACGACGAGCGGCGAACGGGUGAGUAACACGUGGGUGACCUGCCCUCCAGCUCUGGGAUAAGCCUGGGAAACCGGGUCUAAUACCGGAUAUGACUCCAUGACGCAUGUUGUGGGGUGAAAAGCCUUGUGCGGCUGAGGAUGGGCCCGCGGCCUAUCAGCUUGUUGGUGGGGUGAUGGCCUACCAAGGCGACGACGGGUAGCCGGCCUGAGAGGGCGACCGGCCACACUGGGACUGAGACACGGCCCAGACUCCUACGGGAGGCAGCAGUGGGGAAUCUUGCGCAAUGGGCGAAAGCCUGACGCAGCGACGCCGCGUGAGGGAUGACGGCCUCGGU